CACUUUUAAAAUAGGUAACAUUUUAUGGUAACAUUAAGAGGUGUUACAUUAUUUCUAUAUCUAUAAUCCAUAUAUAUAAUAAUUAUUAUUUAAUUUAAUAACUAAUAACCCAUAUAAAAAGAGAUAGAUUAGUUACUAUUAUUAUGAACAGUACUCGUCUUGUCUCGUAAAAAAAAAAAAAAAAAAAAAAAAAAAACCAAAAUAAGUACUCGGCCAUGCGCAAUUACAUUGUUACCCUCAAACUUAAGGGAUUGCUAAAUUUGCCCUUCCCCUUAUUUCUUGCUUUCCUGCUCACCAUCACUCAUUCCCUCAUUUCUUCUCUCUCCUCUCACUACCUUUUAUGAACCCGUUUCGCAGUUCAUGUUUGAUGUUUUUUUUUUAGCCUUUGUUAAAAAUUUGAUUUGUUUAGACUUUAGGGUUGUUUUUUUUUUUUUUUUUUUUACUAAUUGUUUUCUAAAUUUUCUAUUCUCUUGAUCGUUUUCCACAAUUUCUAUCAAUCAUCUUCUUCAUCUCCAUCUCAGUUUCCUCCCAAUGUCCGCAAUUUGUUUGAUUUUUUCGGUAGAUUAAUCAAACAUCCCCUCUUUUCCCCAAAUUUUACUUGCAAGGUAAUCAUAAUGUGUUUCUAUAUCAUCGAAUUUUCAUUUCAAAAUCUAGGGUUUAUCGUUAAUUAAAUAUUGAGUCUGUAUAUUCAAUAUUCUUUCUUAAAUUCGUAAUAGUUAUCCUAUAAACCCUAAUGUACUCGAAAAUGUCAGAUAAGGCAUUGUCUUUAUGGAAUUUGGGGUUAAUUUCUCUCUACUCCAUUGAAGGCCUGAAGCACGUACUCUGAAUUCUCCAUUGAUCCAGCUUCUGAGCUCUUUCGACAAGCCGGAGGAUAAUUUGUUUGCUUUUCUUGCCACCGUCAAACUGCUUAACAUUAAGGUAAAGAGGUGAUACAUCACAGAGUUCACACUAUGAUGCUGUGGUUAAUUUUUCUGGAUUAAAUUCAAGUAGAACUUCGUAGUCCACAUGAAAAAAGUAAGAAGGUGGCUAAAGAUCAUGACGAGUAUACACCUGAAGAAGAGGGUGAACUGAACCACUCAAGUUUGGAGCUGUCUUCUGCUGCUGCGGUCACUGUCACUGUUACUGUUGUUUUGCUGUUGAAACUGCUAUUUGCUGCUGUUGUUACUGUUGUUUGCCGGUGUUACUGCUGUCUAUUGCUGUUACUGCUGCUAGCCUGCUAGUGCUAAUCUGCUGGGCUGAUCUGCUGUAUUUACUGCUAGCAGAUGCUAGUCAUGUUACUACUAGCUAGCCGCUGCUAUCUGCGGUUAUUACUUUGAGCGCUGCGUCUGUUUGCUACUACGCUUACUGUAUUUUGGAAUUUGGUGGACUAGAAAUCGAAGUUGACAUUAUUUUUGUUUUUCAUUAUUAGAUUGUUUAGCCAGAAGAAAAAAUUUGUGUUUAUGCAUAUUUUUUUUGUAAGAACAAUAAAAUGAUUUCAGUUCAAA
Long non-coding RNA from Chenopodium quinoa (quinoa), 1484 nucleotides. RefSeq lists it as uncharacterized. Lineage: Eukaryota; Viridiplantae; Streptophyta; Magnoliopsida; Caryophyllales; Amaranthaceae. The record is from RefSeq and is a predicted model, not a curated record. The transcript has 2 exons.